This 31-nucleotide non-coding RNA is filed under the name Homo sapiens (human). Lineage: Eukaryota; Metazoa; Chordata; Mammalia; Primates; Hominidae. The record is from RNAcentral.
UGCUUAGUGGUACACAAACAUAAAUUGUGGC